This 1162-nucleotide long non-coding RNA is filed under the name Heterocephalus glaber (naked mole-rat). Its description in RNAcentral is "lncRNA (ENSHGLG00000037406.1)". The record is from RNAcentral. Lineage: Eukaryota; Metazoa; Chordata; Mammalia; Rodentia; Bathyergidae.
ACAAAUAAUAGUGUUUUCAAAGUCUUUUUUAGAUUGUUUAUUCAUUGUACAGAGGGUUAGCCAGUCUCUUUAUUAUUUCUCACAUCAAUAUUUCCCUCUCUGUUUAUUUCUCUUGUUCUACAGCAAUGGUGUGGUAUUAUUUCUCCAAACAAAGGAAAUGUGCCAAAAUGUAAUUUUACAGUGGCCUCUGCUAAUUUCCUUCAUUGCCCCCUACCAUUUCAGGCUGUUUCCUUCUGUUUCUCUCCUAGUCUAUGGGAAACUUCUCAGGGAUCCUGGAGGGUGGCUGGAAUUUUAUUGUUCUGACUGGUACUAUAUUAAGUGUUUUUAUGUAUUAUCUUAUUGGAUAUGUAGAACAAUUCUGUGAGAUAUGCACUUCUACUAUCUGCAUUUCGAAGACACAGAAACUGAAGUGUGGAGAGAUGAAUCUGUUUGCCAGAGAGAAUAAGAAAGCUCAGAGAGAAGGAGCAGAAUUAGGAGGAACACUCUCAGGAAAGAAAUCCUAAGAAUUCACAAAGAAUUCAAACAACAGGACUCGUAGCCCUGCACCUUAUUAGAACUGUGCUCCCUGCCUACCAUCCAUCUCACAGUAACAGCAACCUCAUUUUGCUUCUUCUUGUGUCCCAUGAGGAAUUCUGUGAUAGCCUGGCCGAUUCUUCAGAAAGCUGCCUCUGUCAUUGGAUCAAGAGGUAAAAGUGGUAAACAUAGAAAACAACUGAAGAUAUUCCAAAGGAACACCCAGUAUGGCGAUUAGGAGACAGAACUUUGGAAACCGCACACUCUGGACUAACUCCCAGCUCUUCACCUCUUAGCUGUAUGAUCUUACGAAGUUGCAUAUUUAGACUCAGGUGAAUCAUCUAUAAAAUGGGGACAAUAAUUCCUAUCUCACAAUAUUAUGAAUAACGAAAAACUCAAUAAAAUGAGUUCAUAUGCAUAAAGUACUUAAAACUGUUUCCAGCAUAUUGAUAAUGCCCCUCUUAAUAAAUAAUCUAUUAUUCAAAUAUUUAUAUUAUCUAGAGCACAUGGGAUAGUGUUUCUACCUGUAAAUUUCAAUUCAAACUUCACAAUUAUAUUAACUCAUAAAGUCAAGCAUAGACUGCCGGUACAUCUCUCUUAGUUACUUUUCUCUUCUCUGAGAAAUACCUAACACCCAAAGUUAAAGGAG